Molecule: ribosomal RNA, 378 nt
Filed under: Argopistes sp. BMNH 846608
Lineage: Eukaryota; Metazoa; Arthropoda; Insecta; Coleoptera; Chrysomelidae
Description: partial 28S ribosomal RNA
Source: RNAcentral
GGUCGAAAGGAGAAAUUCAUUCGCGUUUCGUGCAUCCGGAGUUGGACGUUCGCGUGACGGACGGCGUUCGCGUCGUUCGCGCCUUUCGUUCUUCUAACCGGUGUCGAACGUGUGCACUUUUCUCCUAGUAGGACGUCGCGAUCCGUUGGGUGUCUGUCUAAGGCUCGGGGUGGAGCCCACGAGACGCAGUUUCUGUUUGUCGCGUGGACCCUCGGUGUUCCGACAGGCUCGCUCGACGGUAUGCAAAUGGCGCGAGGCCGCUACUCAGUUAGCGUUCGGCCCGUAGCAAGCACGUUUCGCGUUUGACGGCGAUCGGACCCGGUGCCGAUUCUGUCCCGGAACGACUGUUGGUUACGGUGUCUCUCGAACAGACCUCGU